This 444-nucleotide ribosomal RNA is filed under the name uncultured bacterium. RNAcentral describes it as "partial 16S ribosomal RNA". It matches the Rfam family "Bacterial small subunit ribosomal RNA", at positions 331 to 792 of the family's 1533-position model. The record is from RNAcentral.
CCAGACUCCUACGGGAGGCAGCAGUGGGGAAUAUUGCACAAUGGGGGAAACCCUGAUGCAGCGACGCCGCGUGAGCGAUGAAGUAUUUCGGUACGUAAAGCUCUAUCAGUAGGGAAGAAAAUGACGGUACCUGACUAAGAAGCCCCGGCUAACUACGUGCCAGCAGCCGCGGUAAUACGUAGGGGGCAAGCGUUAACCGGAUUUACUGGGUGUAAAGGGAGCGUAGACGGCGGUGCAAGCCAGAUGUGAAAGCCCGGGGCUCAACCCCGGGACUGCAUUUGGAACUGUGCUGCUAGAGUGUCGGAGAGGCAGGCGGAAUUCCUAGUGUAGCGGUGAAAUGCGUAGAUAUUAGGAGGAACACCAGUGGCGAAGGCGGCCUGCUGGACGACAACUGACGGUGAGGCGCGAAAGCGUGGGUAGCAAACAGGAUUAGAUACCCGGGUA